CACUUAGACGUUAAUGACUCAGGAUUGUCAAGCUGCGGCCCAGCCCCCGUCACCCCGGAGCACCCAGCCUGUGAGCACUCAAUGCAGGGCACCUCCUCGUGCUUGGCACAUGCCUGGCCCGUGUCAGGGGGCUCAGCAAGAGGUGCGGACGCAGGGGGAGGGACAUUGCACAAGGAGCAGGAGGAGUGAAGCUCCAGCACAAAGAGGCUUGUACACCAGCCAACAUCUCACCCAGCCUGGGGUCCCUGCGCCGCGGUUUCUCAUGGAAAUCAGAAGCAUCUUUUAGAUCCACAUCAAGAAUAGGGUUUAAGACAGCUGCUAAUGACUGACCCGAGGUCUGUUCACACACAGUCCCCUGCAUGGCUGGAGCAGCAAGACAAGAUGGGGGGUUAUUUUACAGUGUUCUCGUAGCCAGUGGCAGAGACACGUCUGCUUGAGGGAUGCUCCAUCUCGCUCCCUGGAGGGAUUCCUGAGCCCUGGCAACCUGAUGGCAGAGCCGUGGAGGUGCCCUGGCAAGGAAGGGGCGGCAGUGAGUCACAGCACCUCAGACUGGCACCAUGGGGAACUGGUUUCUGUUCUUUGCCAUAGAUCCCCAGGAGCCAGCGUGGCACCAGAGAGGAUCACGCUGAUUGGGCUGGUGUGUGAGCGUAGCCAUGAGGCAGUCUGCAUGGAGCUGGGGGAACAGCAUGCACAGGUGUUGCUUAGUGACAACACCUGGAAGAUGUGAGCCUGUAGCAAACGCCGCGUGUCAGGCUGUGGGUGUAGACUGCCCGACAGAGUGCGGCCCGGCACAUCCCCCCGUUUCACAGAGGUAGCCGGCUGCAGUGGGAGAGGAGCGAGGCUAAGGAUAGCUCUGAGUCAGCGGGGCUUUCUUGCCAGGGUCACUUCUCCGAGCCAGUGCAAAUCCCGAUGCCUUGGCCUUUUCACAGAGUUAGUUUUCUGAGGAGGGGAACAAGAGCUAGUGGCUGGGAAAUGUUCUAGAUGCUUAUGAAUGGGGGUGACGCCAAAGCAGUUCAUGCUUGUCUGAAACCUCCCCCUGGAAAGAGAACAGAUUCCUUAGGGCUCCCCCAGCCCGCCCUUGGGGCAGUGGGCCAGGAAGGCAGGGCUGGGUUUGCAGUGUCUGUCUGCAGAUUAUCCUCAGACUGCCGGCUACUUCAUUCGCCCGACCUGUAUGAAUGACGGUGCUUAGCCUGUCUGGCUUGCCGGGGUGCUCUCCACCCCCCUGAGUGAGAUACCGAGGUGCUAGAAGCCGAGGGGUCACCUGCCAGUGGUGGUAGCUCUGGAAAUACUGAAUGGGAAAUGGUAGUGGGGGGAGGAGCUUAAGGAACAAGUUCACCCUACUGGCCUUUCAUCACCGGCUCAUGCCCUGACUUCUCUGCUGCAGAGAAUGUUCCUUUUGUGAAUGGUGCUGAGCCCGGUACCCGUGGAGCUGGGGUGGGGGCCAGCAGGUCUGCUCUGAAUUUCCCCAGACCCAUGGAGCUUGUAUGGUGUGAUGUCCUCGUGUCAGCACGAUAGCUCGGGGCUCAGAGGGACCCAGGCGGUCCCCAGGCCACCUGGCUCCUCCACCACUGUUCUUGCACUGUCUCUAUCACCUGUCGGCGACAUUCUGGGGCCUUUCUCUACCAUGCCUGUCCUCUGCAGCUGGUGUCAAGUUGUAAUAAGAGGAGAGUGCAACAGGGAGAUUAGCUUGCCUCAAUGCCUGUCUGCUAGGCGAUGUGUUUAGAAACCCAUCAGCCUCCAAGAGCAAUGUGGAGCACCCAGGAUUAAAUGCCACCUCUCAGAACUCCCCUGAGCCACAUUCGUCCAUCACCGUCCUAAGCCAGUGCCGCCUUCCCACGGUAAAUGUAACAACUCCAGCACUUCCCUGCUGCUGGGAGGUGGGUGGGAACGCGCCCCAGGGAGGUAAGAGCAGCUUCCGCAGGCGGGGUGCUGUGGUGUGGCUUGCAAGUGAAUUCUUUUAGCAAAAUUAGCUGCAGGUGUGUUCCCGUUCAGGGAGGAACUCUCCGAGAAGCCAGCAUGGAGGGCUUCACGCCAGGGAGCUUUCAUUGGGCAAGUCCAGCUAUUUCCCAUGUGUGCCAGUACAGAGUGUGAACACUACAGCAUCCGUAGAGCAGGAGAGGAUGGAAUCUCCUGGCUGUAUCUGCCUACUCCUGACGAGAGGAACCAAGAGAGCCAGGUGGGGCACAGAAAGCCCUGUUUGGUUCCAGGGGGUUAUUUCCAGGUUUCCUUUCCCCCUUGCUUCCCGUCCCUGAGAUAUUCCCUAGCCAGUGGUUACCAACGUUUUUCAUCUGGCAGGUGCCAGACGAUGAGCCACAGAGGGCCAUGGUGACGGAGGAGCAUCCGCCGAAAUGCCGCCGAAAAUGGGUGCCGCCGCCUCUGGAUGACACUGCUUGUCAGUGGCAUU
Long non-coding RNA from Chelonoidis abingdonii (Abingdon island giant tortoise), 2404 nucleotides. RefSeq lists it as uncharacterized. NCBI's taxonomy places the organism in Eukaryota, Metazoa, Chordata, Testudines, Testudinidae. The record is from RefSeq and is a predicted model, not a curated record.